RNAcentral lists this ribosomal RNA (253 nucleotides) under uncultured bacterium. RNAcentral's name for it is "partial 16S ribosomal RNA". It matches the Rfam family "Bacterial small subunit ribosomal RNA", at positions 524 to 776 of the family's 1533-position model. The record is from RNAcentral.
UACGGAGGGUGCGAGCGUUGUUCGGAAUCACUGGGCGUAAAGCGCGUGUAGGCGGCCUUUUAAGUCUGAUGUGAAAGCCCGGGGCUUACCCCCGGAAGUGCAUUGGAAACUGGGAGGCUGGAGUACCGGAGAGGAAGGUGGAAUUCCUGGUGUAGCGGUGAAAUGCGUAGAGAUCGGGAAGAACAUCGGUGGCGAAGGCGGCCUGCUGGGCUCUUGCUGACACUGAUGCGCGACAGCGUGGGGAGCAAACAGG